GACGAACGCUGGCGGCGUGCCUAAUACAUGCAAGUCGAACGAGAGCGACCGGUGCUUGCACUGGUCAAUCUAGUGGCGAACGGGUGAGUAACACGUGGGUAACCUGCCCAUCAGAGGGGGAUAACAUCCGGAAACGGAUGCUAAAACCGCAUAGGUCUUCGAGCCGCAUGGCUUGAAGAGGAAAAGAGGCGCAAGCUUCUGCUGAUGGAUGGACCCGCGGUGCAUUAGCUAGUUGGUGAGGUAACGGCUCACCAAGGCCGUGAUGCAUAGCCGACCUGAGAGGGUGAUCGGCCACAUUGGGACUGAGACACGGCCCAAACUCCUACGGGAGGCAGCAGUAGGGAAUCUUCCGCAAUGGACGCAAGUCUGACGGAGCAACGCCGCGUGAGUGAAGAAGGUUUUCGGAUCAUAAAACUCUGUUGUUAGAGAAGAACAAGUGCUAGAGUAACUGUUAGCGCCUUGACGGUAUCUAACCAGAAAGCCACGGCUAACUACGUG
RNAcentral lists this ribosomal RNA (498 nucleotides) under uncultured bacterium. RNAcentral's name for it is "partial 16S ribosomal RNA". It matches the Rfam family "Bacterial small subunit ribosomal RNA", at positions 28 to 507 of the family's 1533-position model. The record is from RNAcentral.